GACGAACGCUGGCGGCGUGCCUAAUACAUGCAAGUAGAACGCUGAAGGAGGAGCUUGCUCUUCUGGAUGAGUUGCGAACGGGUGAGUAACGCGUAGGUAACCUGCCUGGUAGCGGGGGAUAACUAUUGGAAACGAUAGCUAAUACCGCAUAAGAGUAGAUGUUGCAUGACAUUUGCUUAAAAGGUGCAAUUGCAUCACUACCAGAUGGACCUGCGUUGUAUUAGCUAGUUGGUGGGGUAACGGCUCACCAAGGCGACGAUACAUAGCCGACCUGAGAGGGUGAUCGGCCACCCUGGGACUGAGACACGGCCCAGAAUCCGACGGGAGGAAGCAGUAGGGAAUCUUCGGCAAUGGACGGAAGUCUGACCGAGCAACGCCGCGUGAGUGAAGAAGGUUUUCGGAUCGUAAAGCUCUGUUGUAAGAGAAGAACGAGUGUGAGAGUGGAAAGUUCACACUGUGACGGUAUCUUACCAGAAAGGGACGGCUAACUACGUG
Molecule: ribosomal RNA, 495 nt
Filed under: uncultured bacterium
Lineage: Bacteria
Description: partial 16S ribosomal RNA
Rfam family: Bacterial small subunit ribosomal RNA
Source: RNAcentral